This 309-nucleotide ribosomal RNA is filed under the name uncultured eukaryote. RNAcentral describes it as "partial 18S ribosomal RNA". It matches the Rfam family "Eukaryotic small subunit ribosomal RNA", at positions 1470 to 1796 of the family's 1831-position model. The record is from RNAcentral.
CCCUUAGAUGUUCUGGGCGGCCCGCGCACUACAUUGGCACUCUCAAUAAGUUCCUAGAUCUAAAACUUUGGGGUAUUCUAUUAAGUGGUGUCGUGACUGGGAUUAACCCUUGCAAUUAUUGGUUACGAACGAGGAAUUCCUUGUAAUCGCGGUUUAUCAGCCCGCGUUGAAUGCGUCCCUGCCCUUUGUACACACCGCCCGUCGCUCCUACCGAUGAAUCAUCCGGUGAAGUUCAUGGAGUGGUGGUUGUUCCAGCUGCUGUCGAAGUGAAAUGGACCUCACGAUUUAGAGGAAGGAGAAGUCGUAACA